GUCCAGGGAUGGGAAACGAACCCACAGUUCCGUUUACCGGGCAGAUGUCAUGUCCACUAGGCUACCCUGGA
RNAcentral lists this transfer RNA (71 nucleotides) under Cordylochernes scorpioides. RNAcentral's name for it is "tRNA-Thr". Lineage: Eukaryota; Metazoa; Arthropoda; Arachnida; Pseudoscorpiones; Chernetidae. The record is from RNAcentral.